AGCAGCCGCGGUAAUUCCAGCUCCAAUAGCGUAUAUUAAAGUUGUUGCAGUUAAAAAGCUCGUAGUUGAAUUUCGGGGUUAGUAGGUUGGUCAUGCCUCUGGUAUGUACUGAUCUCACUGAUUCCUCCUUCCUUAUGAACCGUAAUGCCAUUAAUUUGGUGUUGCGGGGAAUUUGGACUGUUACUUUGAAAAAAUUAGAGUGUUUAAAGCAAGCUAACGCUUGAAUACAUUAGCAUGGAAUAAUGAAAUAGGACGUUCGAUCUUAUUUUGUUGGUUUCUAGGAUUGACGUAAUGAUUAAUAGGGAUAGUUGGGGGGCAUUAGUAUUCAAUUGUCAGAGGUGAAAUUCUUGGAUUUAUUGAAGACUAACUACUGCGAAAGCAUUUUGCCAAGGAUGUUUUCAUUAAUCAAGAACGAAAGUUAGGGGAUCGAAGACGAUCAGAUACCGUCGUAGUCUUAACCAUAAACUAUGCCGACUAGGGAUCGGAUGAUGUUAAUUUUUUAAUGACUCA
This 510-nucleotide ribosomal RNA is filed under the name uncultured Glomeraceae. Its description in RNAcentral is "SSU rRNA". It matches the Rfam family "Eukaryotic small subunit ribosomal RNA", at positions 569 to 1078 of the family's 1831-position model. The record is from RNAcentral. Lineage: Eukaryota; Fungi; Glomeromycota; Glomeromycetes; Glomerales; Glomeraceae.